Molecule: long non-coding RNA, 244 nt
Filed under: Junco hyemalis (dark-eyed junco)
Lineage: Eukaryota; Metazoa; Chordata; Aves; Passeriformes; Passerellidae
Description: lncRNA (ENSJHYG00000017654.1)
Source: RNAcentral
GGUGAGGUCUUCAAUCCAGAUGCAGCUCUGGUGAUUUUCACUGGCUGAGACCUGUGCCCACAGCUGGAGAACCAGGAUGAGUAAGUCACUCCUUUGGUUCUUGGAUUCCUGAAGAAAAAAGACUGCAGAAAUAAUUCUGUUAAAAUCUCCUGUGCACUUCCCAUAUUACUUCCAGCAGCCUGGGCGGGCUGGCCUCAAAAUCCCAAAGCCAGGAGGAUGGGAUGAUGGUGUUGCACAUGACAAC